GCAUGUGAAGGAGUUGGUGAGUGCAAUCCAGGCAGUCACAUCAUUGCUUGUCAGGAUUAUUUUAGCUGAUUUGUCUGACUGGGCAGGUGUCCCCUCUCUCCCUCAGUGCUCCAUGUGCAUCCCUCUUGAAGCUUCGCACUCUGUUGAAGAGGACAUUCAUCCCAGGUAGAGAGGGGGUGGGGAAAUUGGGCCAAUUGAAUAUAAAUUCCUUUUCACAUCAAGGCCACUUAACUGGGAUCCAUUGAUUUACCUAAGUU
Molecule: small RNA, 257 nt
Filed under: Castor canadensis (American beaver)
Lineage: Eukaryota; Metazoa; Chordata; Mammalia; Rodentia; Castoridae
Description: 7SK RNA (ENSCCNG00000002281.1)
Rfam family: 7SK RNA
About the family: 7SK was discovered as an abundant small nuclear RNA in the mid-70s but a possible function has only recently been suggested.
Source: RNAcentral